CAAAGAAAUCAUUGUGAAUUUUACUUGUUUCUAUUCAAAUCACAAAAAUUAUGUUCCAUAAAAGAAAUAUAUGUAACUACACUUUUAAGAAAGUUAAAAAUCAAGAAUAUUUUGAAUAAAACCUGAUGAUUUCUUAAAUUAGAGGGUUUUUACAAUCAUUUAAGAGCUGUUCCAUUUAACCAUACAUGGUACUCAAGGAAGGCUCUUUCAAAAUGGGGUAUGGUGUGAAAUUUAAAAAAUUGCACUUAUAUUUUCAUUAUACUUGACAC
RNAcentral lists this long non-coding RNA (269 nucleotides) under Mytilus galloprovincialis (Mediterranean mussel). Lineage: Eukaryota; Metazoa; Mollusca; Bivalvia; Mytilida; Mytilidae. The record is from RNAcentral.